Long non-coding RNA from Ictalurus punctatus (channel catfish), 3661 nucleotides. The record is from Ensembl. Lineage: Eukaryota; Metazoa; Chordata; Actinopteri; Siluriformes; Ictaluridae.
GAACGUUCCAAUGCACUGGAAGCAUUUUGCGAUUGAGAUAGCCCUUAAAAUGGCGACUCCCUUGAUCAGUGCCCUGACUGCUGAACUAGGGAGCCGAUUGAGACGCACCCUUUAUCAACAUUAAAUCUAACCAGAUACGGAGAAGGUUUAUCCAAAAGUAUGUGUUCUCAUAGUAACUCGGCUGGUUUUAAGAUUUGCAUCGUUUGUGGAACAGAAAUUGACGGAAAUUAGCCGAGCUUGCUGAAAUUAGCCUUGUUUAUCAAAAUAGCUCACUUCGUGGAAUACUCAGGUCACAAUGUAAAUAUAAUGCGUCUGAAUAGGGUUUAAGCCAAACUGAAAUGAAACUGCGAAAUCCUUUUUUUCCUCUUUUCUUUUGCGUUGCCGGUAUAUUCCGCCCUUACACCCUUCUCCCUGCCUCUUAAACCUUCCCAGUCUUUUGUGUGAGGGGCGGGGCAGAGUACCAUGUCAGUUACACACCACACAUAUGCAUACAGCGUGCUCAAAACUGCAUUCGACAGUUAUCCUGCUCACUCCUGUCAAAUUUGUUGCAGUCUGCCGUCUAUAUCCAACCAGCAAAAAAAGGAAUUUGAUCUCCCUCGACUGCUUUGAAGAGUGCACUGGAAAGCAAGCCUGCACAAGAUGCACCACACGGAGAAUGCACGUUUAUUUUGAUGCUGAAGAGAGCUUCCAAGAUCAUCUGAGCCAAUUUUGCUACGAAUUGAACAAAAUUCAUCAUUUUCCUACUUAAGAUUCAUAGGGCUGCCAUAGACUUUCACUGAGGAAGAAGAAGAAGAAUAGGAAAACUAACGGAUACAAUAGGUGCCUACACAUCUUUGGUGCUUGGCCCCUAAUAAUAGGAAAACUAACAGAUACAAUAUGGGCUGACCCCUAAUAAACGGAGCAGAUCCAAUAGGGCCUCUCACCAUCGGUGCUCAGGCCCUAAUAAUAAUAAGUAGAGAUGCACUGAUGUAUAGUUUGAAAACAUCCGAUGAUCAGGGCCGAUUAUAUCCUGUCAAUCAAAAGAGGGUGGGAAAACGCAUCAAUUUCAUGCUGUGUGUAAAGAUGAUGUCUCUUGUGUGGAAUGACGACAAAACUGCAGUUUGUAAGCUCUGCACCUCAAAAAUUUUACACCGGAAGUGAGCAGCACUGAAGCGGCGUCGAGUCUAAUUCCCCCUAAUAACCCCCCCACCCCAGCGCUACUCCUGCGCUUCUCCUGCUUUUCAAGCAUGAAUUGCCUGUUUAAGGUUCUGCCACAGCAUCUAAGUCGGUUCAAGUCAGAACUUUGACUAGGCCACUCCAAAACUUUAAUUUAGCUUUUUUUUGAGCUGUUCAGAGGUGGACUUACUCCUGUGCUUUGGAUCAUUGUCUUGAAUUAUUGUCUAUACUUGUGUAGACCUGUGCUGUUAAUUUAUGCAGUUGACGUUCAACUUUAAAACGUCUACAAAUACAGUCUGGUCAUAAGUAUUUGGACAGCCACACAAUUUUUAAAAAUCAUUUUUAGAAGACCACGGAAGACAACUAAAGUGGGUGAUUGCAGAAUUCUUUCCUUGGUGAAGACAAACCCCUUCACAAUACAUCGCCAAGUCAAGAACACUCUUGAGGAGGUAGGUGCAUCAUUGACAGUCUACAACCAAUAAACACCUUCAUGAAUGUAAAUAUGGAGGUUUUACUUCAAAAUGCAACCCACAGGUAACACUCUAGAACAGAAAGACUAGAUUAGACUGCUAGAAAACAUCUUAAAAAAAAAAAAAAGCCUGCUCACUUCUAGAACAACUUUGGACAGAUGAAACCAAGAUUAACUCGUACCAGGAUAAUGGGAAUGCUAUAUAUAUAUAUAUUUUUUUUGUGGUAAACCACCUGAAUUAAAACUGAAUGGAAUGUCUACACUUAAGUCACAUCUUGAUUGCUUAAUUUCAGGACCAUUAUGGUGGUGUACAGAGGCAAAAUUACAAAACCUUUUUCACAGUCCAAAUACUUAUGGACCCAAAUGUAAAUAUUCCUGUUAACUGAUUAAAAAUCGAAUAGUCUUUUUAGUUAUUAAUUGACUUUUUAGUAAACAAUGAAAAUUGAAAUGUCAAUAGCAGUAAAACGCUUAAAGACUGAGGGGUCUUAUUUUGGUUUGUUUGUUCAUUUAACCUAGAGCAAAAAAUACCACCGAUUUGUGAAAAUCAGCUGAACAUAAAGCAGUUAAAUAAAAACAAUUUACAGCUACUUUUUUAGGGUAGACCAGCAACUGUCCAUAAUAUUGAUUGAAUUGAUUGAAUUUGACCCUUUCUUGUAUGGUAGAUAUUUUGAUGUAUUACAGUGGGCAGUUCGGCAUCUACUGUUUACCUCUACUUGUUGUGGCUUAACAUUGAAUCUGGCCCUUUCCAGUAUGGUAGAAGUUUUGAUGUAUUGUAGUGGGCAGUGUAGCAUCCACAGUGUUACUUUACUUGGGCCAAAAGCUAUAUAGCUAGAACUUACUGUAUGAUGUUGGACUGGUGCCAAAAGAAUAAUCAGUGUUAGUUUUCUUAUGCCAAAGGUUCACAUUCUUUGUGUGGUGGAAAAAGGCUCUAGGCUCCCUGUAUUUUUAAUUGUAUAGAUAGUGGAUAUAGUCUUUUCUAACUUUGUCACUUCCUUUGACAGUGAGCUACUUUUUCUGGUUGCUCUUUGAUGCAUCUGUUAUUUCUAUUUAAGCGGCUAAAUAUAAACUGUCAGAGGGGAUUUAUUUUUUAUGAAUAAAUAAGCAUGUUUACAUAAGACAACACAGGAAUAUUUAACACACAUGGGUAAAAAACCUUGUCUUUGUUCAUUCUGUCACUGAAAGUUCUAGGUGUGACUGAGUUAUUGAAUUUGUCAAGUAUGGUGAUCAUCACAAAUGACUGCAAAUAAAUAUCAUCUUUUACCUAUUAUUAUUAUUAUUAUUAUUAUUAUUAUUACUACUACUACUACUACUCAUUUUCAUUAUAUUAUUUGAUUUUGAACAUUUGCUUAUAAUGUAGUAAAUAUUAUUGACCAAACGGGAGAUGUGUAUGGUCUGUGUAUUUUUUGCUUGCAUGUCCUCCAAGCAAGAUGAUGGUUUAAAGACCACAGUGUAUUCGUUACUUGUGUAGUGUUGGCAGUUUGUAAAAGCAAUUUUCCCUUUAGCAUUUGACUUGAUAUUAAAUCUCUAACUUCAAGUGAGCAGAAUUGGAUUAGUUUUAUUCAUGCACUUAAAUGGGUAGCCUUAGAGACAACUGUAAUGGAAAUUAUUUUAACAUUUCUUCACUGAUGUACUAGGGAUUGGAUUAUACUAACUACAGAAGCCCUAUCCAGUAAUGUACUUAAAAAUAAAUAAAUAAAUAAAUUAAAAAAUAAAUAAAUUACCAUUAAUUUUAUUUGCCUUGUGGCCAACCCUAUUGGAUAUACUCUAUGAUAUGAGUGUCAAUAAUGAGGACAUUUUGCAUGUUUGCAGUUACACCCCAAUAGAUAUAAAUUAAAGUAAUAUUUAUGAACAGUUAGUACCCAUGUGAAGUGGGCAGCAGUAUAGGUAGCAACAUUUUGAAAUAAUUAAUGGAAUCAGUUACUGAAAUCAAUUUCAGUAAAUAGAUGCUCAGUUUCUACUUGAAGCCACACACACACACACAUUUUCUCUUAAUUUCCUUGUAAGAACCUUCCACUGAUUAUAAUUAUUAUUGAGGCC